RNAcentral lists this small nucleolar RNA (130 nucleotides) under Dasypus novemcinctus (nine-banded armadillo). RNAcentral describes it as "Small nucleolar RNA SNORA31 (ENSDNOG00000030078.2)". It matches the Rfam family "Small nucleolar RNA SNORA31". From Rfam's summary of the family: ACA31 (SNORA31) belongs to the H/ACA class of snoRNAs which are thought to guide the sites of modification of uridines to pseudouridines. ACA31 is predicted to guide the pseudouridylation of U3713 in 28S rRNA and U218 in 18S rRNA. This family includes the mouse homologue snoMBI-161. Lineage: Eukaryota; Metazoa; Chordata; Mammalia; Cingulata; Dasypodidae. The record is from RNAcentral.
AUGCAUCUUUGAUAGACCUGAAGCAGUUAAUGUCUACUGGUUAAGGUUUCCACUACAGAGGCAAGAAAAAGAAAGUCCACAUGCUUUCUGUCUUGUUGUGGCAGCCAAGAUUGAACAGGGGAAUACAAGA